GAUGAACGCUGGCGGCGUGCCUAAUACAUGCAAGUCGAGCGAACAGACGAGGAGCUUGCUCCUCUGACGUUAGCGGCGGACGGGUGAGUAACACGUGGAUAACCUACCUAUAAGACUGGGAUAACUUCGGGAAACCGGAGCUAAUACCGGAUAAUAUAUUGAACCGCAUGGUUCAAUAGUGAAAGACGGUUUUGCUGUCACUUAUAGAUGGAUCCGCGCCGCAUUAGCUAGUUGGUAAGGUAACGGCUUACCAAGGCAACGAUGCGUAGCCGACCUGAGAGGGUGAUCGGCCACCCUGGAACUUGGGAACGGUCCAGACUCCCACGGGAGGCCGCAGUAGGGAAUCUUCCGCAAAGGGGGAAAGCCUGACGGAGCAACGCCGCGUGAGUGAUGAAGGUCUUCGGAUCGUAAAACUCUGUUAUUAGGGAAGAACAAAUGUGUAAGUAACUAUGCACGUCUUGACGGUACCUAAUCAGAAAGCCACGGCUAACUACGUG
RNAcentral lists this ribosomal RNA (497 nucleotides) under uncultured bacterium. RNAcentral describes it as "partial 16S ribosomal RNA". It matches the Rfam family "Bacterial small subunit ribosomal RNA", at positions 28 to 507 of the family's 1533-position model. The record is from RNAcentral.